AACGAACGCUGGCGGCAGGCUUAACACAUGCAAGUCGAACGCACCUUUCGGGGUGAGUGGCAGACGGGUGAGUAACGCGUGGGAAUCUACCCUUCUCUACGGGAUAGCUCCGGGAAACUGGAAUUAAUACCGUAUACGUCCUGAGGGAGAAAGAUUUAUCGUGGAAGGAUGAGCCCGCGUUGGAUUAGCUAGUUGGUGGGGUAAAGGCCUACCAAGGCGACGAUCCAUAGCUGGUCUAAGAGGAUGAUCAGCCACAUUGGGACUGAGACACGGCCCAAACUCCUACGGGAGGCAGCAGUGGGGAAUAUUGGACAAUGGGCGCAAGCCUGAUCCAGCCAUGCCGCGUGAGUGAUGAAGGCCCUAGGGUUGUAAAGCUCUUUCAGUGGGGACGAUAAUGACGGUACCCACAGAAGAAGCCCCGGCUAACUUCGUG
RNAcentral lists this ribosomal RNA (433 nucleotides) under uncultured bacterium. RNAcentral's name for it is "partial 16S ribosomal RNA". It matches the Rfam family "Bacterial small subunit ribosomal RNA", at positions 29 to 507 of the family's 1533-position model. The record is from RNAcentral.